CAGAGGGGGCAAGCGUUGUUCGGAAUUACUGGGCGUAAAGGGCGCGUAGGCGGCCUUCUAAGUCGAACGUGAAAUCCCCGGGCUCAACCCGGGAACUGCGUCCGAGACUGGAAGGCUCGAAUCCGGGAGAGGGAUGUGGAAUUCCAGGUGUAGCGGUGAAAUGCGUAGAAAUCUGGAGGAACAUCGGUGGCGAAGGCGGCAUCCUGGACCGGUAUUGACGCUGAGGCGCGAAAGCCAGGGGAGCAAACGGGAUUAGAUACCCCGGUAGUCCUGGCCCUAAACGAUGAAUGCUUGGUGUGGCGGGUAUCGAUCCCUGCCGUGCCGAAGCUAACGCAUUAAGCAUUCCGCCUGGGGAGUACGGUCGCAAGGCUG
Molecule: ribosomal RNA, 372 nt
Filed under: uncultured organism
Description: bacterial SSU rRNA
Rfam family: Bacterial small subunit ribosomal RNA
Source: RNAcentral